GAUGAACGCUGGCGGCGUGCCUAAUACAUGCAAGUCGAGCGAACAGACGAGGAGCUUGCUCCUCUGACGUUAGCGGCGGACGGGUGAGUAACACGUGGAUAACCUAUCUAUAAGACUGGGAUAACUUCGGGAAACCGGAGCUAAUACCGGAUAAUAUAUUGAACCGCAUGGUUCAAUAGUGAAAGACGGUUUUGCUGUCACUUAUAGAUGGAUCCGCGCCGCAUUAGCUAGUUGGUAAGGUAACGGCUUACCAAGGCAACGAUGCGUAGCCGACCUGAGCGGGUGAUCGGCCACACUGGAACUGAGACACGGUCCAGACUCCUACGGGAGGCAGCAGUAGGGAAUCUUCCGCAAUGGGCGAAAGCCUGACGGAGCAACGCCGCGUGAGUGAUGAAGGUCUUCGGAUCGUAAAACUCUGUUAUUAGGGAAGAACAAAUGUGUAAGUAACUAUGCACGUCUUGACGGUACCUAAUCAGAAAGCCACGGCUAACUACGUG
This 497-nucleotide ribosomal RNA is filed under the name uncultured bacterium. RNAcentral's name for it is "partial 16S ribosomal RNA". It matches the Rfam family "Bacterial small subunit ribosomal RNA", at positions 28 to 507 of the family's 1533-position model. The record is from RNAcentral.